Molecule: transfer RNA, 85 nt
Organism: Felis catus (domestic cat)
Lineage: Eukaryota; Metazoa; Chordata; Mammalia; Carnivora; Felidae
Rfam family: tRNA
About the family: Transfer RNA (tRNA) molecules are approximately 80 nucleotides in length. Their secondary structure includes four short double-helical elements and three loops (D, anti-codon, and T loops).
Source: Rfam
GCCUGGGUGGUUUAGUCGGUUAAGCGUCUGACUUCAGCUCAGGUCAUGAUCUUGUAGUUUGUGAGUUCGAGCCCCGCAUCAGGCU